CAACAACAGAGCUUGAGGACAGGAAGAAGCAGCAGGUUGGGCUAACGGUUACUGUUCUUACCCUUUUUCUGUUUUGUCUCCCUACAGACACUUAGACAUCGCUGGACUGCACGAGUGUCACCGUCCUGAGCCCUGGGUUUCCCCCUCGGCGAUAAAAAUUCUUUUUUUCCUCUCUUUUCUUUUUUUGCUUGUUUAUAUAAACAUCUCACUGCUAGGCAUGGAGGCCCGGGGGGGUGGCCCGGGUUAUUUCCCCCCCUUCUCGGGUAUCGCCCUCCGGCCUUCCUCCGCUGCCAGUGCACCUCCAGGCUCCAUCCAGGACAUCCUUGGAAGGUGACUUCAACUGACAACGGCAACUGUGACGUGGAGUUCCUGAUCGGGAUUUGAACCGAUAACCCCCCCACCACGGGGCAUGGCAUCUACCAGCGAGCCACAGGAUCUCACAAGGCUUUCUUAUUUUUUUUCGACAUUUAUCUCUCAGAUUUCCAACUUGCUGUGUGAAAAGCAGUAGCUUGAGCAAGAUUUGAACCCACAACCUUUUGAGUGCAACUACAUUGCUUUUCUUAGUGAGCCACCGUGGCUCAGGUCCAGCACCUU
Long non-coding RNA from Pygocentrus nattereri (red-bellied piranha), 594 nucleotides. The record is from Ensembl. Lineage: Eukaryota; Metazoa; Chordata; Actinopteri; Characiformes; Serrasalmidae.